Long non-coding RNA from Mesocricetus auratus (golden hamster), 1158 nucleotides. RefSeq lists it as uncharacterized. The record is from RefSeq and is a predicted model, not a curated record. The transcript is spliced from 2 exons. NCBI's taxonomy places the organism in Eukaryota, Metazoa, Chordata, Mammalia, Rodentia, Cricetidae.
GGACUUCCCCCAUUGGGGCUGCGCAUCGUGCCUAGGAGAUGGGAAAGAAGACAAGAGGGGAUUUUCUCUUUUCCCAGGCACUGAGAAGCCAUCAUGGAUACCUGAAUGACUGACUCAGCUUGUGGAAGAUGGACGAGAGCUUCCAAAGCAUCAGCAGAGGCUAGACCUGAAGAAAAGGAAGAGAACAGGGCAGCAGAAUUGUCUAACUUUGAAGAACAGAGUCUGCCUACCAACAAUGACUCAGAUGAAGAAACUAGUGACUUAGGGAAAAGACUGGGAGAAAUCUCAGGGGAAGUGUGACUGUUCUUGUUAUGCUGUCUCUGUUGAGUGCAUCUGUUACUGCUGAGACAUCCUGGGCUUAUGUACCUGACCAACCUGCCCUUCACUUUGUUAACUGGGAAUUGAAUACCAUUCCUGUUUAUGUCAAUGACCCUGAGAUCUUGGGUGCCCCACUGCUAAUCAUAUUGUUCUCCAGGCAGAGAUGGCUACAAGGCAGCUUGAGUAUUGAUUUUCAGCUCUUGCAUAAUUAAAUAUUAACCAUUCAUCAUUAAGAGUUAUAUAAAUUGCCAUUUUCUAUGACUGCACAAAACCUGACAAAGAUUUUUUUGGUCACUAUUUUUCUGUCUCUAAUUGGACUUCUAAACUAUGGCCCAUAGGAAUGUCAUUAGAAAGUUUUUUGAUGGUUAUACUUGUUAUGCAGCCUUGAGAUUGGUUUGCUAUUCCAUGUCUGCUUAAAAAGAUUGACUUACAUACCCUAAAAUUAAGAAAUUUAAAGAGGGGGGAUUGCAGGGAGACAUGGAGUUGGCGUGACCCAGCUGCCUUGGAGGCAGGUCAGAGUCCGUGGCUCCUGGGGGCACUGUGCCUUCCAGUUCCUGGGAGACUGCUGCUCUCCCUCAAGGCAGUGAGGCAUUCAGGCCACUUGGUGUUUCUCUGUCUGGUCCUUUAGUAGUCAAGGAAACAUGGAAACUUGACAGGACUAUUGUUCUUAGACAUUAAUCUUGUGUACUCUGCAUAGCUUGAAAACUUCGUUGUAUCCUGGCAGCUACAACUGUAUUGAUCCUGGCAAUUGCCAUUGUAUUCUGUUUCUGAUAAAGGUAUAAAAGUCUGAUUGCUCUCAAUAAAGUUGUCACAGCCUCAGUCUUGCUAUGGCCCCUUCAA